This 301-nucleotide ribosomal RNA is filed under the name uncultured bacterium. Its description in RNAcentral is "partial 16S ribosomal RNA". It matches the Rfam family "Bacterial small subunit ribosomal RNA", at positions 509 to 807 of the family's 1533-position model. The record is from RNAcentral.
CAGUAGCCGCGGUAAUACGAGGGGGGCAAGCGUUGUUCGGAAUUAUUGGGCGUAAAGGGCGCGUAGGCGGUUUGGCAAGUUUGGUGUGAAAUCUUCGGGCUCAACUCGAAGUCUGCAUCGAAAACUGCCGGGCUUGAGUAUGGGAGAGGUGAGUGGAAUUUCCGGUGUAGCGGUGAAAUGCGUAGAUAUCGGAAGGAACACCUGUGGCGAAAGCGGCUCACUGGACCAUAACUGACGCUGAUGCACGAAAGCUAGGGGAGCAAACAGGAUUAGAUACCCCCGUAGUCCCUGUCUCUUAUAC